Castor canadensis (American beaver) is the source of this 73-nucleotide non-coding RNA. The record is from the annotation of a RefSeq genome assembly. Lineage: Eukaryota; Metazoa; Chordata; Mammalia; Rodentia; Castoridae.
GGAGGUAUGGCUCAGGUGGUAGAGCUCCUGCUUUGCAAGCACGAAGUCCUGAGUUCAAACCUCAGUCUCUCCU